UGAGCAAUCUGCCCUUCUCAUCGGGAAUAAGCGUUGGAAGACGCUAUANCGAC
Molecule: ribosomal RNA, 53 nt
Filed under: uncultured bacterium
Lineage: Bacteria
Description: partial 16S ribosomal RNA
Source: RNAcentral